AGUGCUCUUCUCUGGCUUGGUCUGGAGCCUGAGAGGAGGGGGACUGGUCCGGGCUGCCUGGACCCUGACACGGUCCAGGAUUCUCAGCAAACCACGAGCGUCUUCAGGGCGGGCAUCUCCGACUGAAGAUGGUGUUUGGUGCGUGCUGCCCGAGAGAGAGACUCUGCCAGUCCCUGCUCGCAGUGCACCUCUUCAUUCUGGCAGGAGCCGUGUACUACUGUUUCCAGGAGCCCGUGGGGAGAGCAGCCCCCCACCAUGACGUGGCUGGGGACCUGGCACAGCACUUAGGGGAGACCCCGAG
Tupaia belangeri chinensis (Chinese tree shrew) is the source of this 301-nucleotide long non-coding RNA. RefSeq lists it as uncharacterized. The transcript has 5 exons. The record is from RefSeq and is a predicted model, not a curated record. NCBI's taxonomy places the organism in Eukaryota, Metazoa, Chordata, Mammalia, Scandentia, Tupaiidae.